RNAcentral lists this long non-coding RNA (236 nucleotides) under Elaeis guineensis (African oil palm). RNAcentral's name for it is "long non-coding RNA (EGUI_LNC032146)". Lineage: Eukaryota; Viridiplantae; Streptophyta; Magnoliopsida; Arecales; Arecaceae. The record is from RNAcentral.
CAUUUUUGCGUGCAUAAGUUCUUAAGAAAUUUGACAUAUGUAGGGACUUGUUUAAUUACAUCAAGAAGAGGUAAGUUUAUUUGGACUUGUUUAAAUAAUUCUAGUAUUUUAUUCAUCUUGAUACCCUUCUUGUCGAGAGGCAGAGGAGAUUCUAGAGCACUUGAAAAUGGAGCUUUAAGUAUAGGUGCUGGAUUAACAAGUCCUUCCCUCUCUUUAGAUUUCUUCUUUUCUAACUU